Molecule: ribosomal RNA, 478 nt
Filed under: uncultured bacterium
Lineage: Bacteria
Description: SSU rRNA
Rfam family: Bacterial small subunit ribosomal RNA
Source: RNAcentral
AGGAUGAACGCUGGCGGCGUGCCUAACACAUGCAAGUCGAACGUCCUGUCUCGCAAGAGGCAGGGAGUGGCGGACGGGUGAGUACCACGUGGGUUAUCUACCGUGAGGUGAGGAAUACCGGCGAGAAAUCGCCGACAAGACCGCAUAGCCUCGGUGCAAGCCGAGCAAAGCUCUUUCGAGAGAGGGAGCGCCACACGAGGAGCCUGCGCCCGAUUAGCUAGCUGGUGGAGUAACGGUUCACCAGGGCGACGAUCGGUAGCUGGUCUGAGAGGACGAUCAGCCACACUGGGAUUGAGAACGGCCCAGACUCCUACGGGGGGCAGCAGUGAGGAAUUUCGUCAAUGGGGGCAACCCUGAACGAGCAACGCCGCGUGCAGGAAGAAGGUUUUCGGAUCGUAAACUGCUUUUCUCGGGGAAGAGAACGGACGGUACCCGAGGAAUCGAGCCCCGGCUAACUACGCGCCAGCAGCCGCGGUAA